Prionailurus viverrinus (fishing cat) is the source of this 324-nucleotide long non-coding RNA. RefSeq lists it as uncharacterized. NCBI's taxonomy places the organism in Eukaryota, Metazoa, Chordata, Mammalia, Carnivora, Felidae. The record is from RefSeq and is a predicted model, not a curated record. The transcript has 2 exons.
UCCUCUGCUGUCCCCCCGCAGCCCCCAGCGCUGGCCGGCGAAUCCCUUCAUGUCACCGCGUCCCGCAGACCUAGCCUGUGGCCUCUCUCUCUAAAGCCAACGUGGCUCAUCAAGUAAAGGCGAGCUCCUGGCAGGAUUGGGCUGCCUCGGCGGAGUCUGAUGAGGCAGGUGGCUCGCCCAGAGUCGGGUUCAGCUGGGACACAGAAACGCCCGGCGAUCUGCCGUCUUCUCCUUGAAUGAUACCGACGUGGAGGCAAGAGAACAAGGUUCAGGGAGCCACAGAGGCCUGGGGAUCAUUUAAUCCUUAAUUCACGUUGUCCCGUU